RNAcentral lists this ribosomal RNA (498 nucleotides) under uncultured bacterium. Its description in RNAcentral is "partial 16S ribosomal RNA". It matches the Rfam family "Bacterial small subunit ribosomal RNA", at positions 28 to 507 of the family's 1533-position model. The record is from RNAcentral.
GACGAACGCUGGCGGCGUGCCUAAUACAUGCAAGUCGAGCGGACGAAUCGAAAGCUUGCUUUUGAUUCGUUAGCGGCGGACGGGUGAGUAACACGUGGGCAACCUGCCCUGUAGACGGGGAUAACACCGAGAAAUCGGUGCUAAUACCGGAUAACACGAAAUGUCGCAUGACGUUUCGUUGAAAGACGGCGCAAGCUGUCGCUACAGGAUGGGCCCGCGGCGCAUUAGCUGGUUGGUGAGGUAACGGCUCACCAAGGCGACGAUGCGUAGCCGACCUGAGAGGGUGAUCGGCCACACUGGGACUGAGACACGGCCCAGACUCCUACGGGAGGCAGCAGUAAGGAAUCUUCCGCAAUGGACGAAAGUCUGACGGAGCAACGCCGCGUGAGCGAAGAAGGCCUUCGGGUCGUAAAGCUCUGUUGUUAGGGAAGAACAAGUAACGCAGUAACUGGCGUUACCGUGACGGUACCUAACGAGAAAGCCACGGCUAACUACGUG